AGCAGCCGCGGUAAUUCCAGCUCCAAUAGCGUAUAUUAAAGUUGUUGCAGUUAAAAAGCUCGUAGUUGAAUUUCGGGAUCGGCAUGUUGGUCGUGCCUUACGGGGUAUGAACUGGCAUCGCCGGUUUCUCACCUUCUGGAGAAUCGUGAUGCUCUUAAUUGGGUGUUACGUGGAUCCAGGACCUUUACCUUGAAAAAAUUAGAGUGUUUAAAGCAGGCAUAUUGCUCGAAUACAUUAGCAUGGAAUAAUAAAAUAGGACGGUUUGGUUCUAUUUUGUUGGUUUCUAGGAUCACCGUAAUGAUUAAUAGGGAUAGUUGGGGGCAUUAGUAUUCAACUGUCAGAGGUGAAAUUCUUGGAUUUAUUGAAGACUAACUACUGCGAAAGCAUUUGCCAAGGAUGUUUUCAUUAAUCUAAGAACGAAAGUUAGGGGAUCGAAGACGAUCAGAUACCGUCGUAGUCUUAACCAUAAACUAUGCCGACUAGGAAUCAGACAUGUUAAUUUUUUAAUGUACUGUUUGCA
This 520-nucleotide ribosomal RNA is filed under the name uncultured Entrophospora. RNAcentral describes it as "SSU rRNA". It matches the Rfam family "Eukaryotic small subunit ribosomal RNA", at positions 569 to 1084 of the family's 1831-position model. Lineage: Eukaryota; Fungi; Glomeromycota; Glomeromycetes; Entrophosporales; Entrophosporaceae. The record is from RNAcentral.